UGUCUGGAAAGAGCCAGCCAGCCAGCAUCCUGGCGGCAGUGGCGGACUGAGUCCCCUGCAUCUGCCCUUGAGCGGACUCUCCUCCUCCAUACGCAGUUUCCAAUUUUCAGCUCUUGGGGAGCUGUGUGUCUGUGUUUCUUCAGGCCAGGCUCCUCAGAGCUUGUGCAGGGAGGGUGAGAGAACAAGAAAAAGAGGGAGAGAAACAGAAAUACCUGCAGCACUGCUCCACCCUUAGUGAAGCUUCCCUCCCCUGCAGCCAUGAGGAAAAGCACUGUUACAAAGGACUCCGCUGUUCCUGACUGCCUCAGUGGACAGAAAUCCAAGGACUGGCAAGUCCUUCAAGAAGUCAGGUCUUCAAUUCAUGCUGCGGUGGUGCCUUCAGGGUCUGAGGAGGGCCUGCCCUGACUGUGCAUCACCUCCACAAAGCUGACUUCCAGAACUGCUGCUUGCAAGCAAGAGGGAAAAAAAAAUGACAUUAUGUUUUCCUAAAGGUAUAUGCAUUAUCACAGGGAUCGUAAAGUACAAAAGAGUUCACCCUAAGACCAGAACCAGCUGUCUUUAAAUAAUUGGAGUCUACUAUUAUUAAGCUAAGAGAUGCCAGACGAGAGUACAAGAUUACCCUGACUCUUAA
Erinaceus europaeus (western European hedgehog) is the source of this 631-nucleotide long non-coding RNA. RefSeq lists it as uncharacterized. Lineage: Eukaryota; Metazoa; Chordata; Mammalia; Eulipotyphla; Erinaceidae. The record is from RefSeq and is a predicted model, not a curated record. The transcript is spliced from 3 exons.